GGCUCAGGACGAACGCUGGCGGCGUGCUUAACACAUGCAAGUCGAGCGGUAAGGCCCUUUCGGGGGUACACGAGCGGCGAACGGGUGAGUAACACGUGGGUGACCUGCCCUCCACUCUGGGAUAAGCCCGGGAAACUGGGUCUAAUACCGGAUAGGACCACUGAUCGCAUGGUUGGUGGUGGAAAGUUUUUUCGGUGGGGGAUGGGCCCGCGGCCUAUCAGCUUGUUGGUGGGGUGAUGGCCUACCAAGGCGGUGACGGGUAGCCGGCCUGAGAGGGCGACCGGCCACACUGGGACUGAGACACGGCCCAGACUCCUACGGGAGGCAGCAGUGGGGAAUAUUGCGCAAUGGGCGGAAGCCUGACGCAGCGACGCCGCGUGGGGGAUGACGGCCUUCGGGUUGUAAACCUCUUUCGCCAGGGACGAAGAGCAAUUGACGGUACCUGGAGAAGAAGCACCGGCCAACUACGUGCCAGCAGCCGCGGUAACACGUAGGGUGCGAGCGUUGUCCGGAAUUAUUGGGCGUAAAGAGCUCGUAGGCGGUGUGUCGCGUCGGCCGUGAAAACUUGGGGCUUAACUCUGAGCGUGCGGUCGAUACGGGCAUCACUUGAGUUCGGCAGGGGAGACUGGAAUUCCUGGUGUAGCGGUGAAAUGCGCAGAUAUCAGGAGGAACACCGGUGGCGAAGGCGGGUCUCUGGGCCGAUACUGACGCUGAGAGC
RNAcentral lists this ribosomal RNA (718 nucleotides) under Pseudonocardia sp. VO44-3. RNAcentral's name for it is "bacterial SSU rRNA". It matches the Rfam family "Bacterial small subunit ribosomal RNA", at positions 21 to 754 of the family's 1533-position model. The record is from RNAcentral. Lineage: Bacteria; Bacillati; Actinomycetota; Actinomycetes; Pseudonocardiales; Pseudonocardiaceae.